CACCUUCAGGAUCGCACCUGGGGAGCUUCCAGUAUUCUACCAGCCUUGGCUAUGGGAGGGAGAUUCAAACAGAGGCCUAUCCAUUCCAUUCCUAGCUUGGGCAGUGGCUAGUGAGUGGAAGGCCAUCUGCUACAAGU
Molecule: small nucleolar RNA, 137 nt
Filed under: Ornithorhynchus anatinus (platypus)
Lineage: Eukaryota; Metazoa; Chordata; Mammalia; Monotremata; Ornithorhynchidae
Source: RNAcentral